AGAGUUUGAUCCUGGCUCAGAAUCAACGCUGGCGGCGUGCCUAACACAUGCAAGUCGAACGAGAAAGGGGAGCAAUCCCUGAGUAAAGUGGCGCACGGGUGAGUAACACGUGACUAACCUACUCUUGAGUGGGGGGAUAACUGAGGGAAACCUUAGCUAAUACCGCAUAAAACCUACGGGUCAAAGGAGCAAUUCGCUCGAGAAGGGGGUCGCGGCCGAUUAGUCAGUUGGCGGGGUAACGGCCCACCAAGACGAUGAUCGGUAUCCGGCCUGAGAGGGCGCACGGACACACUGGAACUGAAACACGGUCCAGACUCCUACGGGAGGCAGCAGUGGGGAAUUUUGCGCAAUGGGGGAAACCCUGACGCAGCAACGCCGCGUGGAGGAUGAAGUCCUUCGGGACGUAAACUCCUUUCGAUCGGGACGAUAAUGACGGUACCGGAAGAAGAAGCCCCGGCUAACUUCGUGCCAGCAGCCGCGGUAAUACGAGGGGGGCGAGCGUUGUUCGGAAUUAUUGGGCGUAAAGGGUGCGUAGGCGGUUUGGUAAGUCUUGUGUGAAAUUUCCAGGCUCAACUUGGAAGCUGCACGAGAAACUGCCGGGCUUGAGUGUGGGAGAGGUGAGUGGAAUUCCUGGUGUAGCGGUGAAAUGCGUAGAUAUCAGGAGGAACACCUGUGGCGAAAGCGGCUCACUGGACCAUAACUGACGCUGAUGCACGAAAGCUAGGGGAGCAAACAGGAUUAGAUACCCUAGUAGUCC
RNAcentral lists this ribosomal RNA (757 nucleotides) under uncultured bacterium. RNAcentral's name for it is "bacterial SSU rRNA". It matches the Rfam family "Bacterial small subunit ribosomal RNA", at positions 8 to 796 of the family's 1533-position model. The record is from RNAcentral.